This 405-nucleotide ribosomal RNA is filed under the name uncultured bacterium. Its description in RNAcentral is "partial 16S ribosomal RNA". It matches the Rfam family "Bacterial small subunit ribosomal RNA", at positions 29 to 525 of the family's 1533-position model. The record is from RNAcentral.
AUUGAACGCUGGCGGCAGGCCUAACACAUGCAAGUCGAACGAGUGGCGGACGGGUGAGUAAUGUCUGGGAAACUGCCUGAUGGAGGGGGAUAACUACUGGAAACGGUAGCUAAUACCGCAUACCAUCGGAUGUGCCCAGAUGGGAUUAGCUAGUAGGUGGGGUAAAGGCUCACCUAGGCGACGAUCCCUAGCUGGUCUGAGAGGAUGACCAGCCAAACUGGAACUGGGACACGGGCCAGAGUCCUACGGGAGGCAGGAGUGGGGAAGUUUGCACAAUGGGAGCAAGCCUGAUGCAGCCAUGCCGCGUGUAUGAAGAGGGCCUGCGGGGUGUAAAGUACUUUCAGCGGGGAGGCGUUACCCGCAGAAGAAGCACCGGCUAACUCCGUGCCAGCAGCCGCGGUAUUC